This 1344-nucleotide ribosomal RNA is filed under the name uncultured bacterium. Its description in RNAcentral is "bacterial SSU rRNA". It matches the Rfam family "Bacterial small subunit ribosomal RNA", at positions 28 to 1381 of the family's 1533-position model. The record is from RNAcentral.
GACGAACGCUGGCGGCGUGCUUAACACAUGCAAGUCGAACGAUGAAGCCCAGCUUGCUGGGUGGAUUAGUGGCGAACGGGUGAGUAACACGUGAGUAACCUGCCCUUGACUCUGGGAUAAGCGCUGGAAACGGCGUCUAAUACCGGAUACGACCUGCCCCGGCAUCGGGUGCGGGUGGAAAGUUUUUCGGUCAAGGAUGGACUCGCGGCCUAUCAGGUAGUUGGUGAGGUAAUGGCUCACCAAGCCGACGACGGGUAGCCGGCCUGAGAGGGUGACCGGCCACACUGGGACUGAGACACGGCCCAGACUCCUACGGGAGGCAGCAGUGGGGAAUAUUGCACAAUGGGCGAAAGCCUGAUGCAGCAACGCCGCGUGGGGGAUGACGGCCUUCGGGUUGUAAACCUCUUUUAGUAGGGAAGAAGGGCUUCGGCUUGACGGUACCUGCAGAAAAAGCACCGGCUAACUACGUGCCAGCAGCCGCGGUAAUACGUAGGGUGCAAGCGUUGUCCGGAAUUAUUGGGCGUAAAGAGCUCGUAGGCGGUUUGUCGCGUCUGCUGUGAAAACCCGAGGCUCAACCUCGGGCCUGCAGUGGGUACGGGCAGACUAGAGUGCGGUAGGGGAGAAUGGAAUUCCUGGUGUAGCGGUGGAAUGCGCAGAUAUCAGGAGGAACACCGAUGGCGAAGGCAGUUCUCUGGGCCGUUACUGACGCUGAGGAGCGAAAGCGUGGGGAGCGAACAGGAUUAGAUACCCUGGUAGUCCACGCCGUAAACGUUGGGAACUAGAUGUGGGGACCUUUCCACGGUCUCCGUGUCGCAGCUAACGCAUUAAGUUCCCCGCCUGGGGAGUACGGCCGCAAGGCUAAAACUCAAAGGAAUUGACGGGGGCCCGCACAAGCGGCGGAGCAUGCGGAUUAAUUCGAUGCAACGCGAAGAACCUUACCAAGGCUUGACAUAUACCGGAAACUUCCAGAAAUGGUUGCCCCGCAAGGUCGGUAUACAGGUGGUGCAUGGUUGUCGUCAGCUCGUGUCGUGAGAUGUUGGGUUAAGUCCCGCAACGAGCGCAACCCUCGUUCUAUGUUGCCAGCACGUCAUGGUGGGAACUCAUAGGAGACUGCCGGGGUCAACUCGGAGGAAGGUGGGGAUGACGUCAAAUCAUCAUGCCCCUUAUGUCUAGGGCUUCACGCAUGCUACAAUGGCUGGUACAAAGGGCUGCGAUACCGCAAGGUGGAGCGAAUCCCAAAAAGCCGGUCUCAGUUCGGAUUGGGGUCUGCAACUCGACCCCAUGAAGUCGGAGUCGCUAGUAAUCGCAGAUCAGCAACGCUGCGGUGAAUACGUUCCCGGGCCU